GAAAGUCUCGGAUAUUCAAGUAAAAUGGACAACAGAAUUCGUUUUAUUUUUACGUGAAAGGACAGUUUAUUCUGUGGAGAAACCCUCAACAUUGAAAGACAUCACCAAAUACACACAUUAUACCAACUAUAAGGAAGAGCACCAGCAGAAAACUAGCGUUUAAGGAUCAUUUGAUUGUAAACGGCUUUCACAGGAUCUGGACGGUGUGAUCGGGAUAUGUGGGCAUUCUGAUGGAAACCUGUUUACCCGCCGAGGUUAAGGAUUGAAGUCGAGACUGCCGGGACAACGAUGCUGCUCCUGUCAGAUGUGACGGGUCUGGAGUAAUUGCAACGACAAGAAAUUCACUACAGACUUUAUUGAAGACUAGAGCGGAUAACAACUCUAUUAUUAUUUAAUUGUUUAUUUAUCUAUUUAUUACCACUGUAUGACUUUUAGAUCAUUCAAUUCUGUGUUUGUAUGAUUUGUGUAAAUCGUGUAUUUAUUUAAAGUAUCCUCCAGACCACCCAAGAAGGAUGGGCCCUGUUGAGUCUGGUUCCUCUCAAGGUUUCUUCCUGUAAUUUUCAGGGAGUUUUUCCUUGCCACAGUCGCCCUCGGCUUGCUCAACAGGGGUUUUUGUAUCUGUUGGUCCUGGAUUUUGUAAAGUUGCUUUGAGACAAUGUAUAUUGUAAAAAGCGCUAUAUAAAUAAAGUUGACUUGACUUGACUUGACAUACUAGGUAGUAAUACUAUCCAAUGGUUUGAUGGCCAUUUCUACACGAAGUGAGUGUGUUUUGACCCUUUGGGGCUUCCAUAGUUCAUGGACAACGUGCUUGACUCAGCUGUCCGGUAUUCUUUACCGUAACAGAAUAAGUUAAUAAAGUGUUCUGCUCCCGACAA
Molecule: long non-coding RNA, 875 nt
Organism: Trichomycterus rosablanca
Lineage: Eukaryota; Metazoa; Chordata; Actinopteri; Siluriformes; Trichomycteridae
Exons: 2
Source: RefSeq, a predicted model, not a curated record